GCAUAACCAGCUUUGGGAUUUUGCAUUAACCACCUCUUGUUAUUCGAGGUUUCACAGGGACCCCACCCAGCAAGCCACAUAAUCUAUAUAACACUUAUUGAUCCAAAGGUGUAGGAAUAGUCUAUGGGCCCAUCUCAUCUGGCCCAUCUCAGUAUAAUAGUCUUUGAAGUUGUCAUGCUUUUAAGGGUUGGCACACACAUACAGAUAACAUAAUGUUAAAUACAAUAGUCUCAAGAUGUGUCUGUGUUUGCUGUAUCUGUUACUUAUUCUUCCAUUUUUUAGGCUAAGGACUUUAUUAGAGCCCACCUCUCCCUCCUCGCCAAUAAUCAUCCAUAUGAACAAGAUAUGAACUAUAUUGCAAAUCUUGAAAAUGAAAACUUUGAAAGGUCAUGAGUUGGAUUUAUGAAAGAAAAGAAGAAAUGAUGGUGGUUCACGUCAAUCAAUAAGCUGAUGAUUCCACAAUGCUAUGAAUCUAAUGUUUGUAUUGUAAUUGUGUAGGCUCAUCUUUUUAAUAUUUGUGCUCUCUCUCACAGUACCUUGCUAUAUAAUGUAAAACCUGGCAUUCAUAGCAAUGUUUAAGGUUGAGAAAUCAAACCCUCAGAAGUCAGGAAACUUCAUGAAUUAAGGUGGCUCCAGCAUUACCAGGGGUCUGUUGACUUCAGUGGGACUACUCAUGUUCAAAAGCUUUGCUGAGCUGCAGACCAAAUUCCUUGCUAGCAUAAAUUAGUGCAGCUCCAUUGACUUCAAAGGAGUUAUAUCAGUGUAUACCAGUAGACAACUUGGACCUAAGUCUCAUUGAUUUCUUCCCCUCCCCCCGCCCAAGAAAAAAAAGUUACAUUUUGAGUUUCCAGCAUCAGCCAUUUUUGCUUAUUAAAGCCCAGUUCUGAUUUGUCACAGACAGGAAUUGUGGCUUUCUCCAUGACUGAACAAUAGAAAUGUGGCUGAAUGAAUUUUUCUCAAACUUACAAAGGCCUGGUCUACACUAGGCGUUUAUGUCGAAGUUAGCGCCGUUACAUCGAAUUAACCCUGCACCCGUCCACACUGCGAUGCUAUUUAGUUCGACAUAGAGGUCUCUUUAAUUCGACUUCUGUACUCCUCCCCGACGAGGGGAGUAGCGCUAAAUUCGACAUGGCCAUGUCGAAUUAGGCUAGGUGUGGAUGGAAAUCGACGCUAAUAGCUCCGGGAGCUAUCCCACAGUGCACCACUCUGUUGACGCUCUGGACAGCAGUGC
RNAcentral lists this long non-coding RNA (1231 nucleotides) under Chrysemys picta bellii (western painted turtle). Its description in RNAcentral is "lncRNA (ENSCPBG00000011819.1)". Lineage: Eukaryota; Metazoa; Chordata; Testudines; Emydidae. The record is from RNAcentral.